UAUUUAAAAAAAUGAUAUCGCGUGUAUCCAGUACAAUUAUAUAAUUUCAUAGUCCUUAAGUUUUUGAAGAUGUUAGUUGAAAUGAAAAACUGACAAUAAAAAAAUACAUCUAGCAAUCUGGCUUAAGUUGAUUAUUGUAAACAAAUUCAUUAAUGUAGUUAAAACGUGUGCAAUUAUUAUUAGGGGAAAACUCUUAACUUUCAUUUGGCCAUUUAUCAAUGGUGUGUAAAUUAGAAAUUGUGCAACAGCUUGAAAUAUCAUAACGAAGGUCUGCACUAGUCAAGACUAUAUACCCACAGGCCCCAUAUACAUAUACACACAUAUACACACAUACACACACGUACACACAACCAAUAUCCUUUGGAACCGUUGUGCAACAUAACCCCGCAUUUUUUGAAUGGCUAUAGCUAUGUGUACUGUGUACGUGUCAAAGGAUCGCUGUACAAAGCUUGCAUUGGGAAUAGUGCACGCACAGGCUAUAUAGCUACUGUGUGCAUUAUAAAUUCACAAUGUAGCUUUGCCUAGACAGGAGCUAGACUGAAUCUUGGUGUUUUCUCUGCAAAAUAAUGCUGAAUACUGAGUUUUCCUGCUAAUCUACAACAGUAUGGAUAUAGACGCAACAUGACAAAUGAGUAGUUUCCAUAUUGACCUCGUUCUUUAUCAUCAUCUUCACCAAUACAUCAACGCCACCAUCACCAUGUCUUUGACGUCGACCUCCGUUUUUGCGUUUGAACUUUGAAGAUUGUUGCGAACUCUAAUAAUGAAUUGGAUAUUGGCAUUAUCGAUGUUUGUUCUAUCUUUGAACACUGUCGCAUCGAACUUUGAUUAAAGGUAAGAACCUCCUUUUUACCUUCUUCGAUUUGUGUUUCGUCGUUUGCAGGUCUGAUCCUGACUCUGACUAAUGAUGACCUAACCUAUCGUUCUGUCUUCAAUCACCCUCGACGUCAAACUCUAUACCGCGUUUCACAAUCGCCGAACACGGACUCCGCAAACGAUUGACAUCGCCGACUCUCGACUUUCGUUCAUCAUUCAUUUUUGAACUGUACUAUGAUCACCGACAUAUCAUCUACGAUCUGCCAAGAAGGCCUAGUCACCAAUUGUUUCUUCAAAUUUCGUCUUUCGACUGAAUUCGAGUACGACAUCGUCAACGAAUCUCGCACCUCCGCUGGAAGGACAGUUUGUAUAAUGUACUAUGUAAUUUGAAUAUGAGCGGCAGUCUUUCGCUAUAGAAAUAGACUAACCACUUUAUAAUAUUGUUGUGUGCUGAAAAUGUUUAGUGUCAUGUAUAAUGAUGUAACAAGCGGCAGUCUUCGCUAUAGAAAUAGACUUCAGUUUUCGACUGUAAAUUGUUUUAUAUAUUUUACGCGAGCUAGACUUUAGCUCGUUUGAAUAAACGUUUUUUUUUAAGUAAA
This is a long non-coding RNA of Strongylocentrotus purpuratus (purple sea urchin), 1412 nucleotides long. RefSeq lists it as uncharacterized. The record is from RefSeq and is a predicted model, not a curated record. Lineage: Eukaryota; Metazoa; Echinodermata; Echinoidea; Camarodonta; Strongylocentrotidae. The transcript has 2 exons.